GCGUUGUAAGGCCUAGCCUUGUGUUGAGAUUUCCUUUGCCAGGAACUCUCCAAGCCCAUCGGCGACGUUCAGUGCCCGCAAUCGCAACACACUGCGACUACGGCAUCUGGGCGUCGCCAAUAAAACCGUCAU
RNAcentral lists this unclassified non-coding RNA (132 nucleotides) under uncultured Ascomycota. RNAcentral describes it as "sequence contains ITS2". Lineage: Eukaryota; Fungi; Ascomycota. The record is from RNAcentral.